GCCGGGCGUGGUGGCGCGCGCCUGUAGUCCCAGCUACUCGGGAGGCUGAGGUGGGAGGAUCGCUUGAGUCCAGGAGUUCUGGGCUGCAGUGCGCUAUGCCGAUCGGGUGUCCGCACUAAGUUCGGCAUCAAUAUGGUGACCUCCCGGGAGCGGGGGACCACCAGGUUGCCUAAGGAGGGGUGAACCGGCCCAGGUCGGAAACGGAGCAGGUCAAAACUCCCGUGCUGAUCAGUAGUGGGAUCGCGCCUGUGAAUAGCCACUGUACUCCAGCCUGGGCAAUAUAGUGAGACCCCGUCUCUU
This 300-nucleotide signal recognition particle RNA is filed under the name Fukomys damarensis (Damara mole-rat). RNAcentral's name for it is "Metazoan signal recognition particle RNA". It matches the Rfam family "Metazoan signal recognition particle RNA". From Rfam's summary of the family: The signal recognition particle (SRP) is a universally conserved ribonucleoprotein. It is involved in the co-translational targeting of proteins to membranes. The record is from Rfam by way of RNAcentral. Lineage: Eukaryota; Metazoa; Chordata; Mammalia; Rodentia; Bathyergidae.